RNAcentral lists this ribosomal RNA (520 nucleotides) under uncultured bacterium. Its description in RNAcentral is "bacterial SSU rRNA". It matches the Rfam family "Bacterial small subunit ribosomal RNA", at positions 8 to 518 of the family's 1533-position model. The record is from RNAcentral.
AGGGUUCGAUUCUGGCUCAGGAUGAGCGCUAGCUACAGGCUUAACACAUGCAAGUCGAGGGGCAGCAUGUGGUUGCUUGCAACCAAUGAUGGCGACCGGCGCACGGGUGAGUAACGCGUAUCCAACCUUCCCUAUAGUAGAGGAUAGCCCGGCGAAAGUCGGAUUAAUACUCUAUGUUUUCCAAUGCAGACAUCUAAAAUGGAACAAAGGUUCACCGCUAUAGGAUGGGGAUGCGUCUGAUUAGAUAGUCGGCGGGGUAAUGGCCCACCGAGUCGACGAUCAGUAGGGGUUCUGAGAGGAAGGUCCCCCACAUUGGAACUGAGACACGGUCCAAACUCCUACGGGAGGCAGCAGUGAGGAAUAUUGGUCAAUGGGCGAGAGCCUGAACCAGCCAAAGUAGCGUGCAGGAAGACGGCCCUAUGGGUUGUAAACUGCUUUUAUACAGGGAUAAAGUGACGUACGUGUACGUUUUGUAGGUACUGUAUGAAUAAGGACCGGCUAAUUCCGUGCCAGCCGCGGC